UGUGGCGCAGCCUGCAGGCGGACAAGGCGAUAGCGCUGGUGGCGCAGUCGGCGCAAGCCGGUCCCGCCCCGGCGCCGCUG
This 80-nucleotide transfer RNA is filed under the name compost metagenome. RNAcentral describes it as "tRNA-Thr". The record is from RNAcentral.